RNAcentral lists this unclassified non-coding RNA (1831 nucleotides) under Pectinophora gossypiella (pink bollworm). Its description in RNAcentral is "broad-complex core protein isoforms 1/2/3/4/5". Lineage: Eukaryota; Metazoa; Arthropoda; Insecta; Lepidoptera; Gelechiidae. The record is from RNAcentral.
CGCCCGCCAGUCGUCCGCCCGCCAGGACCUCACCGAUGAUGACUUAAAUUAUUUUAAUAAAAUCUCAAGAUUUUUUUCUUUUCUCCAAAAGACUGUAGUGCGUUGUGUCGUGUAGUGUUUUAUUUUUACAAUUAUUUAGAUAUUUAAUUGGACUUUCCUGUGUUUAUCCUGUUUUGUUUUUUCGGUACUCGCGGUCGAGUGGAGCAGAAAAGUUUAUAAAGAUACUGGUCACGCAUCUGACACCUUACGUGAAGGUUAUACACGAAAAAUCGUUGAACGAAUCGUUGAAAUUGCCAAGAUCCCCACACAUGUCACACUAGCCUCCAAGAUGGUCGACACACAACACUUCUGCCUGCGGUGGAACAACUACCAGAGCAGCAUUACCUCUGCGUUCGAGAACCUUCGAGACGAUGAGGACUUCGUCGACGUUACCCUCGCCUGCGACGGGAAAUGCCUCAAAGCGCACAGAGUCGUCUUGUCAGCGUGCAGUCCUUACUUUAGAGAGCUGUUAAAAUCGACGCCAUGCAAGCACCCAGUGAUCGUGCUGCAAGACGUGGCAUUCACAGACCUCCACGCCCUGGUGGAGUUCAUCUACCACGGCGAGGUCAACGUGCACCAGCGCAGCCUCUCCUCAUUCCUGAAGACGGCUGAGGUCCUCCGCGUUUCCGGCCUCACACAGAACGACGAUGCACAAGGACCGCUGGUGCAGAGCCUCGCCCGCGCGGCCGCCGCCGCCGCGUCGUCCCCGCACACCCCGCCGCAGCCCGCGCACACCCCGCACACGCCCAGCUACACCGAGAAGCUCGAGGAAGCUCUCAUGUCUCACCAACCACCCACAAACCUCCAGCCUAUGCGCCGUAUCCCGAUCCCGCCGCGGCGCAUGAGCCGUUCAGCAGACAACUCCCCUGACGUCAUCAAACGCGUCCGCCACGACAACAACAAUACUGAACAGCCGCAGAUCCACGCAACAGACUUCUCUACCAAGAACCACUCUAUGAUGAACAACUCGCGCCAUGAAGGCGGUAAUAACGGGAAUGGUAUCUCUAACAGCAGCUCGUCACCGUCUCCAAGGCUCAUGGAUGAAGUCAAGAAUGAGCCCCUGGACAUGAUAUGCGGGUCAAACGCCGACAUUGACAGGAGCACCGAUGACACGCCCCCACACUCCCACAGGCCAAUUGGAGGCGGGCCGCCCUCACACAGCUCUGCAGAGGCCGAAGACCGCACGCCACCGCCGCAGCUACCACCGUCGCCAUUCAUACAACCAGCUGACACAAAACUAUUCGCUCCAUCUAACACUUACAACUUCAGCAUGGCGGCUCUAACUGAACACCCAUCUCUGGCCGGUCUCUCAAGUCCACUUACUCCAGACGGCAUGGCGAGCACAUCCCAAGGUAAAAAAUUAUUCUCCUGCUCGCUAUGCGGGAAGGUUUUGUGCUCAAAGGCGUCUCUGAAGCGGCAUAUCGCCGAUAAGCACGCGGAGAGGCAAGAGGAGUACCGGUGCACGAUAUGCGAGCGGGUAUACUGCUCGCGCAACUCGCUGAUGACCCACAUAUACACCUACCACAAGUCCAGGCCGGGCGAGACAGAGCCAAUCGGGCGGUUUUUUUAGUGACUACUUGGACGGAGUUGGCGCGGCGUGCGGCAGCACUCGUCUAGCAAAGAGAACCAACACAAUCUACACCCCGCCGUUCUUACCAUCGCUCAAAAAGCUGUCCCGCCCCUCCGUAUGCCCCCGCCGACGGCCGGCGGUAUUAACGAGCCGCAAGAGUGUCCCUACUGCCGCAGGACAUUUUCUUGUUACUAUUCCUUGAAACGACACUUCCAAGACAAG